CUCUUAAUACUCUCUCUCCCUCUCCUCUCCUCUCUUCUCUCAAGCGUCGUCGUCUUCUUCUCCUUCCUCAGGGGAAGGAGCCCUAAAAGGAACUACUAUCUUCUUCCUUAACCUGCUCGAAGCUGCUUCCGACUGUGUCAACUCAAUCCCAGCAAAUGAAAGCGAUUGCCUUUGACGGACAACGGAUCUAAUUAUCCAAUCGUUUCCGGAUCAUUGAAGGCUCUGAAAUUCAAGAUUUCAAUUUGCCGCUGUUGCUGCUGCUUCUUCUGAGAUUAAAAGAGUGACAUUCUGUAUAGUUAGUGUUUGGUGAUCGUAUCUGAAAGUGGCAGAAUGCCGAAGGAGAGAAGAGACCGUUCGCUGUCUUCUGACAGAUCUAGGGCUUCUCCUUUUCCUUGCAGCUCUAGUCGCGCUAGGCGGUCUUCAUCCAAAAACCAUUCGGAGCCCGCGAAAGAUGUGAAAGAAUGGGAAGAGGCUAGGUCUUCAUCCAAACAGCCGUCGGAAUCCUUAGAGGAUGUGAAAGAGUGGGAAGAAGCUAGAUGCCCUGUCUGCAUGGAACAUCCCCACAACGCAGUCCUCCUCCUCUGUUCUUCCCAUGAGAAGGGAUGCCGCCCUUACAUGUGUGAUACAAGUUAUCGCCACUCGAACUGUCUUGACCAGUUCCGCAAGGCAUUUUCACAGACCCCAUCAGCAGAAGCAACACAAAAUGAGGCUCUUCAAUCGAGCACGGCCUCUGGUAGAGUGACCUCGGCUGUUGCUCCAAUGGAUAUACAAGAGCAACCAGGUGGAGAACUUGACCCCGAAGACACCAGUUUGUUCUGCGAGGGCGAAUCGAGUACGAAUCUUGUGUGCCCACUGUGUCGCGGGAAAAUAAACGGGUGGGUUGUUGUGGAGGCUGCUCGCCGGUUCAUGAAUGCAAAAUCUAGGAGUUGCUCGUGUGAGACGUGCGAUUUCAGUGGGACGUAUACAGACCUCAGGAAGCAUGCAAGACUAGUACACCCCCUUGUGCGGCCAUCAGAAGCGGACCCCGAGAGACAGCGUGAUUGGCGGAGGCUAGAACGGCAAAGGGACCUUGGGGAUGUGGUCAGCACGAUUCGAUCAGCACUUGGGGAGGAGAUGGGGAUGGGGGAUGACGAUUUUUUGCCUUUUGGAGGAAGGCUGCUCGUGUUCUUAUUCUUCAGCGUCCAGAAUGGUUCCAGUGCCGGUAACAGCAGCUGGUCUGGUGCCUCAAGAGCUCGAGGGCAGCCAAGGAGCCGCCGGAGAACAACCCUGUGGGGAGAGAGCUAUGAUACAGACAAUGGGUCUCCAACCGCAGAGGGUGACAUCGAGUCAUUGGAGAGUGUGUCGCUUCUGUGGCGACGACGACGACGACGGACAUCACCAGAUAACGAGCCAUGAAAGUGAACAGCCUCAUUCCUAUGUGUUUUUGCUCGUCAGCUGGUCUGGGUUGUUUCAAAGGGGAAGGGGGAGGGAGGUCGGGAGGAAGCAAUCAAAGCUAACUUUCUCAACUCUCACUUUGAGUACGGAGACUGCUCAGCAGAGUGCUGAAACUGUUCUGGCUUGAAGGGUUUUAGUGAUGUGAUAUUAUAGACAAAAAAGAUUAGCAACGGAAAUAGAGAAAAAACCUGAAUCUCUGAGUCUGAAAUUUAUUUCUUACCAUCAAUUGUGUUUUUCUUCAAAUAUUUCAUAAUCCAUUUAGAUGUUGGCCAAGGCAUUGCCGAAUUCUGUUUC
This is a non-coding RNA of Nelumbo nucifera (sacred lotus), 1728 nucleotides long. Lineage: Eukaryota; Viridiplantae; Streptophyta; Magnoliopsida; Proteales; Nelumbonaceae. The record is from RefSeq and is a predicted model, not a curated record.